UUUCCGUAGGUGAACCUGCGGAAGGAUCAUUCAUAAUAAGUGUUUUAUGGCACUUUUUUAAAUCCAUAUCCACCUUGUGUGCAAUGUCAGGGUUGAUUUUUCUCUCGAGAGGAUCAACCCCAAACAUCAACUAUAUCUCAUCUCUUUGUCUGAAAAAUAUUAUGAAUAAAACAAUUCAAAAUACAACUUUCAACAACGGAUCUCUUGGCUCUC
RNAcentral lists this unclassified non-coding RNA (213 nucleotides) under plant metagenome. RNAcentral's name for it is "partial contains small subunit ribosomal RNA, internal transcribed spacer 1, and 5.8S ribosomal RNA". The record is from RNAcentral.